Molecule: long non-coding RNA, 1244 nt
Filed under: Pan troglodytes (chimpanzee)
Lineage: Eukaryota; Metazoa; Chordata; Mammalia; Primates; Hominidae
Description: long non-coding RNA NONPTRT017200
Source: RNAcentral
GAGAAUUGCUUUAUGGCCAAAUGUGUGGUUAGUUUUAGAGUAUGUCACGUGCAAGUAAGAUGAAUGUAUAUUCUGUUGUUGCUGAGUAGAGUGUUUUGUAGAUGUCUGUUAGGUCUAUUUUAUCAAGUGCUGAGUUUAGGUCCAAAUAUCUUUGUUAGUUUUCUGUCUCAAUAAUCUGUCUAAUACUGUUGGUGUGGUGUCAAAAUCUCCUACUUUAGGAGAUACACCUAAUGCUAUAUGACGAGUUAAUGGGUACAGCACACCAACAUGGCACAUGUAUACAUAUGUAACACACCUGCAUGUUGUGCACAUGUACCCUAAACCUUCAAGUAUAAUAAUAAUAAAAUUAAAUUAAAUUAAAAAGAUAGUAAAAUUUUUAAAAAAUGCUUUCUAAAAAAGAAAUAAAGCAAAGGAAUAGGACUUGCUUCUUUCUUUUAUUUCAGAUAUGCUGAGCUGCAGAAGGUACAGGAUCUCUCUUCAACCGCGUAACAAUGUUUUAGGGUAGAUCCUGCACUUCAAAGAAACUUCUUCAGUAUUGCGAGGGGCAAUAAGUUUUGUAAUGGGUUAAACUGUAAGGAAAUCAUUGUAACCACCAUCUCAGUCACAUUCUCCACUUAUAAUCACCAUCUGUCUGACACCCGUGUGUAUCUUUUUACUGGACUAAACCCAAGAAAGGAAUUAACAGGUAUGAUCUAUUAGGUCUCUAAAACCUAGGAAAUAUUAGUAGAGUGUGGUUCUGGAGUAAACUUCUUAUUCUGGUUUUGGGCUAAUUUGAUACUAAGUUUUUGUUGUUUUUCUUAUUACCAAUCUGAUCCUUCCUCAUUAUUAAAUGUCUUCCAUGCUCCACCCUGUUUCUAUUUCAGGUAUGUCGCUGUCUGCAUAAUAUGCAAACCUAACACUUGAGUGCUGAUCAUGUAAAAGAUACGGUAAGUUUACAAGUACCAUUGAAUUUAAAUAAAAUUUAAAUUCAAAUCAACCAUAUAAUAUAGGUACUUUUAUUUUUCCAAUGUAAACAAUUUACCAAGCUUAAGGAACUUCAAUAGCCAUUAUGAGAUCAUAUAUCUGGAAGAUGGUAGAACUGAAGUUCAAACCCAGUUUUAGAUAAUUCUAAAUCCCAUGGUUUUGAAAUGUUUCAGGUUAAAUAAUCCUGACAAAAAUCCAGUUAAUUCUACAGAUGUAAUAGUUAUUUGUUGUAUUAUUUAAAUAGUUGAACAACUACCUAAUAACUAUUUGUAAUGUGCCAG